AUCACCAUUACCAGGUGAAAGCACGAGUCCACCUUCUGUAACUGGAGGACCAUCUACAGCAGUAACCACCGGUCAACCUUCUGCAACAGGAACACCAUCUCCAGGUUUAAGCACUGGUCCACCUGCUGUAACUGGAGGACCAUCUACAGCAGUAACACCGGUCAACCUUCUGCGACAGGAACACCAUCUCCAGGUGUAACCACUGGACCACCUUCUGUAACUGGAGGACCAUCUACAGCAGUAACACCGGUCAUUCUUCUGCAACAGAAAACCAUCUCCAGGUGUAAGUACUGGUCCGACUUCUACAACUGCAGGACCAUCUACAGCAGUAACAACCAGACAAUCUUC
RNAcentral lists this long non-coding RNA (348 nucleotides) under Mytilus galloprovincialis (Mediterranean mussel). The record is from RNAcentral. Lineage: Eukaryota; Metazoa; Mollusca; Bivalvia; Mytilida; Mytilidae.